Long non-coding RNA from Myxocyprinus asiaticus (Chinese sucker), 1012 nucleotides. RefSeq lists it as uncharacterized. The record is from RefSeq and is a predicted model, not a curated record. NCBI's taxonomy places the organism in Eukaryota, Metazoa, Chordata, Actinopteri, Cypriniformes, Catostomidae. The transcript has 2 exons.
GCAAGGUAAGCAUUACCAACAUUUAUACAAAAUACUGAAUAAACCAACAACAGGCUUUAUAUUGCAACAGAAGGACGGCAGCAGAAUUACUGAUGCUUUACUUAUAAACUGACCCUACUCGACAUUUACAGAACAAAUUAUCUUCUUCAAGGACAGAAACUUCCAGGGUUGCUCUUAUGAGACCAGUAUUGACUACGCUGAGCUCAACUCGUACCUGAGCCGCUGCAGCUCUUGCAGGGUGAAGAGCAGCUGCUUCAUGGUGUAAGAUCACUCCAACAUCAUGGGAAACCAGUUUUUUGUGCGCAGGGGCGAGUACUCUGACUGCAAGCGAUUGGGCUUGAGUGACUCCAUUCGACCCUUCUGUAUAAUCCCUCAGAUAUAGUGUUCCACUCUGAUUUUAAUUCUGUCCUUUAAUUACAUUUACAUUUAUUCAUUCAUUUAGCAGACACUUUUAUCCAAAGCAACUUACAAAAUGAGGAAGGAUUUAACAUAAGCGAUUCAUCUUAAGGAGGCAGUAAUACAAAAAUUGCUCUAUUACAAAAUUUCAGUUGCACUAGAAAAGGGCUAGCCAAGACAGAGCCACUAUAAUUGUUUAUAUUGUCAUGUGAUCACAUGACGAAUGACUUUUAAUUACUUUAGUAGGGUUUUGUUGGAAUUGCACAAACACAGGCAGCCUCACUAGUAUUAAUUUCAAACAUGUUGAACAGCACAGAGGAGCCUUCCGAAUGAGCAUCUAUGAGCGAGAGAACUUUGGUGGCAUGAUGAUGGAUGACUGUGAGUCUAUGAUGGAUCAUUAUCAUUUGUCUGACCUGUGCUCCUGUCAUGUGAUGGAUGGCCACUGGCUGCUGUAUGAAUAGCCCCACUUCAGAGGCAGAAUGAUGUACCUGAGACCUGUAGAAUACAGGAGCUUCAGAGACAUGGGCUUCAACUUCAGAUUCAGCUCCAUGGGUAGAAUCAUGGAACCCUACAAUUAAUCAUUAUGAAUCAUUAAAUUAAAUGACCUUCAUAUGUC